GUUGCUGUCUUCCUCUGGAUGAC
This 23-nucleotide non-coding RNA is filed under the name Cricetulus griseus (Chinese hamster). The record is from RNAcentral. Lineage: Eukaryota; Metazoa; Chordata; Mammalia; Rodentia; Cricetidae.